GCCGGGUGGGGUGAUGUACGCCUGUAAUCCCAGUAGCUCUGGAGGCUGACAGGAGGAUCACGAGUUUGAGGUGAGCCUCAGCAACUUAAGGAGGCCCUAAGCAACUUAGCAAUAUCCUGUCUC
RNAcentral lists this small RNA (123 nucleotides) under Marmota monax (woodchuck). Lineage: Eukaryota; Metazoa; Chordata; Mammalia; Rodentia; Sciuridae. The record is from RNAcentral.